RNAcentral lists this ribosomal RNA (540 nucleotides) under uncultured bacterium. RNAcentral's name for it is "bacterial SSU rRNA". It matches the Rfam family "Bacterial small subunit ribosomal RNA", at positions 772 to 1312 of the family's 1533-position model. The record is from RNAcentral.
ACUAAAUAGAUACCCGGGUAGUCCACGCCGUAAACGUUGGGCGCUAGGUGUGGGGCUCUUUCCACGAGUUCCGUGCCGCAGCAAAAACGCAUUAAGCGCCCCGCCUGGGGAGUACGGCCGCAAGGCUAAAACUCAAAGGAAUUGACGGGGGCCCGCACAAGCGGCGGAGCAUGCGGAUUAAUUCGAUGCAACGCGAAGAACCUUACCAAGGCUUGACAUACGCAGAAAACCGGCAGAGAUGUCGGGUCCGUAAGGGCUGUGUACAGGUGGUGCAUGGUUGUCGUCAGCUCGUGUCGUGAGAUGUUGGGUUAAGUCCCGCAACGAGCGCAACCCUCGUUCCAUGUUGCCAGCACGUAAUGGUGGGGACUCAUGGGAGACUGCCGGGGUCAACUCGGAGGAAGGUGGGGAUGACGUCAAAUCAUCAUGCCCCUUAUGUCUUGGGCUUCACGCAUGCUACAAUGGCCAGUACAAAGGGCUGCGAGACCGUAAGGUGAGCGAAUCCCAAAAAGCUGGUCUCAGUUCGGAUCGGGGUCUGCAACU